UAGGGAAUCUUCCACAAUGGACGAAAGUCUGAUGGAGCAACGCCGCGUGAGUGAUGAAGGGUUUCGGCUCGUAAAACUCUGUUGUUGGAGAAGAACAGGUGAUAGAGUAACUGUUAUCAUCUUGACGGUAUCCAACCAGAAAGCCACGGCUAACUACGUGCCAGCAGCCGCGGUAAUACGUAGGUGGCAAGCGUUGUCCGGAUUUAUUGGGCGUAAAGCGAGCGCAGGCGGUUUUUUAGGUCUGAUGUGAAAGCCUUCGGCUUAACCGGAGAAGGGCAUCGGAAACCGGGAGACUUGAGUGCAGAAGAGGACAGUGGAACUCCAUGUGUAGCGGUGAAAUGCGUAGAUAUAUGGAAGAACACCAGUGGCGAAGGCGGCUGUCUGGUCUGUAACUGACGCUGAGGCUCGAAAGCAUGGGUAGCGAACAGGAUUAGAUACCCUGGUAG
This 446-nucleotide ribosomal RNA is filed under the name uncultured bacterium. RNAcentral's name for it is "partial 16S ribosomal RNA". It matches the Rfam family "Bacterial small subunit ribosomal RNA", at positions 355 to 793 of the family's 1533-position model. The record is from RNAcentral.